AACUCAAUUCCCAGGAUACCCUUCAACUGAGCCUCCACAACCCUGUAUAAAGCAGCUUUUAAACCAGGCCAAAAGAAGGAAUCUCCAGAAGCAACAGUGUGUAUGUGCGGAUGAUGGGAAACGUGAGUGUGUAGAAGGAACUAUGGUUGCAGUGUGUGGAAUUUGCUACUGGCAAGUUAUUCUAGCACAGAAUCCAAGAUAAAUACCAGUGAGGACUAAGGAUCUUCACCCCUGUCUUCAGUGCUGACCAUUUGACUGCCUGUUGUCUUGGACUCAUCAAAACCUCAAGCAACAACAUUCUAUUAAGAAGAGUCACCAUCCUAGAGAGUUUUCUUUCAAAAUUCUCCAGAUCUCAUAAGGAGUUGCUGAGAAGAAAGAGCAAGUAUUAAAGGGACUGUACAGUAGUCACUACAAGGAGAUUAGUUUUUAAAUUUCAGAUUCCCAGUUGCAAUUUUUAUUAUAAGUAUAAGCUUAGAACACAGGACUUUCUGAUUGGCUGUCAGUAAUAUCAUGCCCCGGCCAAGAAUACCCAGUAAAUGAAGAAAUCUGUUUAAUUUUAGAAGGUGCAUUUUUGAAAAUCAUCUACUAAAAUGAAGCCUUCAGUCACCAAGUUAUCAUCUUCAAGGUUUCAUUCUUACAUACCUAGAAAACAAACAAUCUGGGUAACAACCCAACCCUGUGGCAAAGAGGUUUGGAACUCUGCCUUCCCAAAAGCCUUUUGCGUCUUUUGUGUCUCAGCUUUUAUCAAGUCUAUCUGUUAUUUAACAGUUUUCUAUUCCUCCGCUGCGAGAAUGAUUGGGCCUUAAGUAUGCAGCCCUGCCUCAUUAUUCCUCCCUCUAUACUUGUGUGAGACUGAGUUUACUGGCUGCAAGACAAGGAAAGCCUCUGCACCCUGUUACACUUCAUCUGCUCUUUAAUACAUUUAGCUGUUCUUGUGGUGAGCCAUUCGAUAUCACUUACGGUUUUUCCAUGCUUCAGUACUUAUCUCUUUGCUUCUUCUCCACUUUCUUAGAAUGUGCCCAGGUUUCUGUUCUAUAUAUUAUGGUUGGCAGUACAAAAAACUAAUAAUAUUCAAGUUUCUAGGACUGAGCAUGUUAGUGAACUAGACUUUCACCUCUGGAGGUCAUGGUAAAACUCCUGUUUUUGUUACAAGCAAAAUGGAUUAGAAUUCUGUGUAAUCCAUGAAAUAGUCCCUCUUUCGCUCUACAUUUUGCCUCAACAUCUUUGGCUAAAAAUUUCAACCAUAGGAGCCUAAAGUUAUCAAAAAUCCAUAUUUAGGCACCUAAGCAGGUGGUCUAAUUUUCAAAAAUGCUGAACACUUAGCUCCCAUAUUGGUUCUUGUUAUUCCAUUGGAUGCUGGCUCUUUUAUUCCAUCUUCAUAUGUAAGCUAUAACUGUCAAAGCAUAUUCUUCAUGACAAUUUGUUCCAAAGGAAGUGGGUUCUGGAAAUAAAUCCACAAUGGUAAAUCAUGGGUUAAAUGGGGGUACUUGUUCAGCAUUUUAACUAUUACCCUAUACUUAUCACCCCCUGCUAGUUUUAUUGAAGAACAUAGAUGAAUGUAUUGAUACCCAUAAGAAAGAAAAAUAAAUUGACCCUCCAACUACAUAUUACCAAAAGCUGGGUAGUAGUCCUUUGUGCAUAAUGCUGAUAUUUCAAGAUUGUUCUUUAUACCAACAUUUUAAACUUGUAAAAAUGUCUAUCUCUUGCAAUGUGUGUGCUAUUACUGUCUGUCCAUCUUCUAUGUUCAGAACUUGCAUUGCUAAAACCAAUGCCUGCCUUACAUCAUUGUUUCUCUAUCCCAGUGGCCAUCUGACUCUAUCCAAAAUGAUUUCCUUGAAGAAUAGUGUAUGGACACCUAUUGUACUUAUCAAUCUUUAAUGGAUUCAGACUACCCAAUUGUAACAAUACAAUAAAGUGCUACCUAUGACAGCUC
Chelonia mydas (Green sea turtle) is the source of this 1933-nucleotide long non-coding RNA. RefSeq lists it as uncharacterized. Lineage: Eukaryota; Metazoa; Chordata; Testudines; Cheloniidae. The record is from RefSeq and is a predicted model, not a curated record. The transcript is spliced from 3 exons.